UAAUACGGAGGGAGCUAGCGUUGUUCGGAAUUACUGGGCGUAAAGCGUACGUAGGCGGCUUUGUAAGUAAGAGGUGAAAGCCUGGAGCUCAACUCCAGAACUGCCUUUUAGACUGCAUCGCUUGAAUCCUGGAGAGGUGAGUGGAAUUCCGAGUGUAGAGGUGAAAUUCGUAGAUAUUCGGAAGAACACCAGUGGCGAAGGCGGCUCACUGGACAGGUAUUGACGCUGAGGUACGAAAGCGUGGGGAGCAAACAGG
RNAcentral lists this ribosomal RNA (256 nucleotides) under uncultured bacterium. RNAcentral's name for it is "partial 16S ribosomal RNA". It matches the Rfam family "Bacterial small subunit ribosomal RNA", at positions 521 to 776 of the family's 1533-position model. The record is from RNAcentral.